UACAGAGGUCUCAAGCGUUGUUCGGAUUCAUUGGGCGUAAAGGGUGCGUAGGCGGCGCGGUAAGUCGGGUGUGAAAUCUCGGAGCUUAACUCCGAAACUGCAUUCGAUACUGCCGUGCUUGAGGACUGGAGAGGAGACUGGAAUUUACGGUGUAGCAGUGAAAUGCGUAGAUAUCAGGAGGAACACCGAUGGCGAAGGCAGGUCUCUGGGCUGACACUGACGCUCAUGCACGAAAGCGUGGGGAGCGAACAGG
This 253-nucleotide ribosomal RNA is filed under the name uncultured bacterium. Its description in RNAcentral is "partial 16S ribosomal RNA". It matches the Rfam family "Bacterial small subunit ribosomal RNA", at positions 524 to 776 of the family's 1533-position model. The record is from RNAcentral.